CCGCGGGAUUAGAGUUUGAUCCUGGCUCAGAACGAACGCCGGUGGCGUGGAUAAGACAUGCAAGUCGAACGGGACUUGUUCUGUAGCAAUACAGAGCAAGUUCAGUGGCGCAAGGGUGCGUAACACGUGGGCAAUCUGCCGGGAAAUGGGGGAUAGCUCGCCGAAAGGCGAAUUAAUACCGCAUGUGGCUAGCGAAGGAUUCUUCGCGACGCUAAAGUCGGGUACCUAGCAAUAGGCCUGACGUUUCCUGAUGAGCCCGCGGCCUAUCAGCUAGUUGGUAAGGUAACGGCUUACCAAGGCUAUGACGGGUAGCUGGUCUGAGAGGACGACCAGCCACACUGGAACUGAGACACGGUCCAGACACCUACGGGUGGCAGCAGUCGAGAAUUUUUCUCAAUGGGGGAAACCCUGAAGGAGCGACGCCGCGUGAAGGAUGAAGGUCUUCGGAUUGUAAACUUCUGUCAUUAGGGAACAAGUGCCGCCGAGUAACUACCGGCGGCUUGAUAGUACCUGAAGAGGAAGGGACGGCUAACUCUGUGCCAGCAGCCGCGGUAAUACAGAGGUCCCAAGCGUUGUUCGGAUUCAUUGGGCGUAAAGGGUGCGUAGGUGGCGGGGUAAGUUGGAUGUGAAAUCUCGGGGCUCAACCCCGAAACUGCAUUCAAUACUGCUCUGCUUGAGUACUGGAGAGGAGAUCGGAAUUUACGGUGUAGCAGUGAAAUGCGUAGAUAUCGUAAGGAAGACCAGUGGCGAAGGCGGAUCUCUGGACAGUUACUGACACUGAGGCACGAAGGCCAGGGGAGCAAACGGGAUUAGAUACCCCGGUAGUCCUGGCAGUAAACGGUGCACGUUUGGUGUGAGCGGA
This 862-nucleotide ribosomal RNA is filed under the name uncultured Verrucomicrobiota bacterium. Its description in RNAcentral is "bacterial SSU rRNA". It matches the Rfam family "Bacterial small subunit ribosomal RNA", at positions 1 to 830 of the family's 1533-position model. Lineage: Bacteria; Pseudomonadati; Verrucomicrobiota. The record is from RNAcentral.